Molecule: unclassified non-coding RNA, 376 nt
Filed under: uncultured Thermoleophilia bacterium
Lineage: Bacteria; Bacillati; Actinomycetota; Thermoleophilia
Description: contains 16S-23S intergenic spacer region
Source: RNAcentral
UCCGAGUUGUCCCCGGCAGUCUCGCAUGAGUCCCCAACUAAAUGCUGGCAACAUGCGACGGGGGUUGCGCUCGUUGCGGGACUUAACCCAACAUCUCACGGCACGAGCUGACGACAGCCCUGCACCACCUGUGCACAGGCCCCGAAGGGCUGCCGUAUUUCUACGACAUUCCUGUGCAUGUCAAGCCUAGGUAAGGUUCUUCGCGUUGCGUCGAAUUAAACCACAUGCUCCGCUGCUUGUGCGGGUCCCCGUCAAUUCCUUUGAGUUUUAGCCUUGCGGCCGUACUCCCCAGGCGGGGCACUUAAUGCGUUAGCUCCGGCACGGGAGGAGUCGACACCUCCCACACCUAGUGCCCAUCGUUUACGGCGUGGACUAC